This 125-nucleotide small RNA is filed under the name Marmota monax (woodchuck). The record is from RNAcentral. Lineage: Eukaryota; Metazoa; Chordata; Mammalia; Rodentia; Sciuridae.
GCUGGGUGUGAUGGCGCGCGCCUGUAAUCCCAGUGGCUUGGGAAGCUGAGGCAGGAGGAUAGCGAAUUCAAAGCCAGCCUCAGCCAUGGUGAGGCGCUAAGUCAGUCAGUGUGACCCUGUCUCUA